RNAcentral lists this ribosomal RNA (1526 nucleotides) under Lactobacillus helveticus. Its description in RNAcentral is "partial 23S ribosomal RNA". It matches the Rfam family "Bacterial large subunit ribosomal RNA", at positions 1 to 1541 of the family's 2925-position model. The record is from RNAcentral. Lineage: Bacteria; Bacillati; Bacillota; Bacilli; Lactobacillales; Lactobacillaceae.
GGUCAAGUAGAAAAGGGCGCACGGUGAAUGCCUAGGCACUAAAAGCCGAUGAAGGACGUGACGAACUACGAAAAGCUUCGGGGAGCGGUAAGUACGCAGUGAUCCGGAGAUGUCCGAAUGGGGGAACCCAAUGCAGCGAUGCAUUAUUGGUUGAUGAAUAGAUAGUCAAUCAAAGGAAUACGCAGUGAACUGAAACAUCUAAGUAGCUGCAGGAAGAGAAAGAAAAAUCGAUUUCCUUAGUAGCGGCGAGCGAAGAGGAAAGAGCCCAAACCAAGUGAUUUAUCAUUUGGGGUUGUAGGACUGCGACGUGGCAGCGUGAGCGAUAGCAGAAUUAUCUGGGAAGGUAAGCCAGAGAGGGUGAGAGCCCCGUAAGCGAAAUUGCAAGCGCGCCUAGCAGAAUCCUGAGUAGGCCGGGACACGAGAAAUCCCGGUUGAAACCGCGAGGACCAUCUCGCAAGGCUAAAUACUAAUUAGUGACCGAUAGUGAACCAGUACCGUGAGGGAAAGGUGAAAAGAACCCCGGAAGGGGAGUGAAAGAGAACCUGAAACCGUGUGUCUACAAGUAGUCAAAGCACAUUAAAGUGCAAUGGCGUGCCUUUUGUAGAAUGAACCGGCGAGUUACGUUAUCUAGCGAGGUUAAGUCAGAAAAGACGGAGCCGGAGCGAAAGCGAGUCUGAAUAGGGCGAGAAGUUAGGUGACGUAGACCCGAAACCAAGUGACCUACCCAUGACCAGGCUGAAGGCGUGGUAAAACGCGCUGGAGGGCCGAACCCACGUAAGUUAAAAAUUGCGGGGAUGAGUUGUGGGUAGCGGUGAAAUUCCAAACGAACUUGGAGAUAGCUGGUUCUCUCCGAAAUAGCUUUAGGGCUAGCCUCGUGGAGAGGAUAAUGGAGGUAGAGCUCUGUUUGGACUAGGGGCCCGUCAGGGGUUACUGAAUCCAGAUAAACUGCGAAUUCCAGAUAUCCAUACACGGGAGUCAGACUGCGAGUGAUAAGAUCCGUAGUCGAAAGGGAAACAGCCCAGAUCACCAGUUAAGGUCCCAAAAUCUAUGCUAAGUGGAAAAGGAUGUGGAGUUGCGUAGACAACUAGGACGUUGGCUCAGAAGCAGCCAUCAUUCAAAGAGUGCGUAAUAGCUCACUAGUCGAGUGACGCUGCGCCGAAAAUUUACCGGGGCUAAGCAUAGUACCGAAACUGUGGAUGUACGUAAGUACGUGGUAGGAGAGCGUUCUAAGUGCGGCGAAGGUUAACCGAGAGGAUAAUUGGAGCGCUUAGAAGUGAGAAUGCCGGUAUGAGUAGCGAAAGAUAGGUGAGAAUCCUAUCCGCCGAAAGACUAAGGUUUCCUGGGGCAGGCUCGUCCGCCCAGGGUAAGUCGGGACCUAAGGCAAGGCCGAGAGGCGUAGUCGAUGGAUAACAGGUAGAUAUUCCUGUACUGUGUUCAAUCGUUAAGAGCGAAGGAGGGACGCAGGAGGUGAAGCACGCAUCGCGAUGGAACGAUGUUCAAGCGACAAGUGCGGUUAAGAGUCAAAU